UCUUGUGGGUAGACACAGGCCCUGCCCUGGUGGGGGCCUCCUUCCUAAUGGGGGGCACAGUCCCUACCUGAUGAGGGUGUGCCCAGUCAGUGGGGAGCCUGUCCCAGGUCAGGCACUUUUAACCCCUUCCUUCCACAGCACUGCCUGCUGGGCUGGGACAUUUUCCCUCCGAAGUCUGAGAAAAGCUCAGCCCCCAGGAACCUGGACCUCUGGUCCUCUGUCUCCGCUGAGGCCCAGCACCAGAAGCUGUCAGGCACCAGCAGCCCUUUUCACCUGGCCUCGCCAGUGCAGUUGCCGCCCCUGACCCCGACCUGGUCAGUGCCCCAGGUCCCUCGGCCCCACGUCCCAUGGCAGAAGCCCUGAGGACUGACUCCUGGAGGAGAACAGCAUUCCCGCUGCCUCCAGCCUCUCCCCUCUGGCCGGCGCACCCAGGAGAUGGAAGCCUCUGCCCGCCCAGCUCAGGCCCGGCUGUCCUAGGUUGGGCAGGUGGGUGGACCCAGGCUUGUCUGCUGCCUGGGUUCCAGAGAGGGAGGACCCUGGGGUAGAGGGUGAGGGAUUCUGUGGAAGUUUGUAAAUAAAGCUCAGUGCUCUGCA
RNAcentral lists this small RNA (594 nucleotides) under Pongo abelii (Sumatran orangutan). RNAcentral describes it as "processed transcript". Lineage: Eukaryota; Metazoa; Chordata; Mammalia; Primates; Hominidae. The record is from RNAcentral.